This 667-nucleotide long non-coding RNA is filed under the name Triticum aestivum (bread wheat). RNAcentral describes it as "long non-coding RNA (TAES_LNC012037)". The record is from RNAcentral. Lineage: Eukaryota; Viridiplantae; Streptophyta; Magnoliopsida; Poales; Poaceae.
AACUCUAACAACAACUCAAUGACUCGAAAGGUUACUAGCUACCAUGGGACUUCUUCAGGAUGACACACUCAUACUUGACCUGGAACCACUUCAUGGCAUCUUUUUUUCAUGGCAUCUUCCUUGGUCACCCAUCUUCCUUGAUCCCAACACGCUCCAGAACGACAAAGAGGUCCAUCUUAGUUGAGCAAUUGUUCAGGAAGUCAUACCUGAGAGAAUUAAUCCAGUAAGUUUGAAGUAUGUAAGCAAUAGCAUAUCAAUUGGCCAUAGAACUUUCUGCACUAGAACCGAACAAGGCAAGGCAAGGCAUUAAGACAGAUGUGAACACAUGAGAUAAAAUCUAGAGAGAAGUGAAUACAGAAGAUAAAUUCACAGACCUGGAACUACUCGUCAUCAUCACCAAUAUUGUGCCCAGUGUGAUCUUCAUCAUCACUACGAUAUUGCAUCAUAGUUUCAUCGUGGUCGUCCUCCUCCUUGCUUUCAUCCAAUAAUUCAAUAUGUUGUUUGACAAGUUUUGCCGCUACAACAGGAUCAAUCACAGAGUGUUCUUGGUCUUUGCGCAGCAGAUUCGACAAAGUGGAUUCAUUAGCUCUCACCGGAACUUCCUCCGAAUGAUCAUCCUGGUAAUUUAGUCCACUACCAUUGGGACCUUGCUCCAUGGAAGUUUCAG